Molecule: long non-coding RNA, 1536 nt
Filed under: Olea europaea subsp. europaea
Lineage: Eukaryota; Viridiplantae; Streptophyta; Magnoliopsida; Lamiales; Oleaceae
Source: RNAcentral
CCGUACACAAUAAACAUAAAACACUUACAAUUACUCUUCAAAACACAAUAAAAUGACUACCACUUUCUAGAAGAGAAGAGCUAGUAGCACGGCUAUCAAGUUUCCACUCAAUGAUGACAUGGAGGAAUGCUUUGCUGUUUUCAUAUUCUUCGACGUCUUCAUUCGCUCGAUUCUUGCACAUUUAAUCAUCGCAAGCUCGGCAAUCUCUUUGAUUAGCUUCUAAUCAGUAGCAUCCAGUGACAAUCCUCUUGGAGGACGAGGCGGUUUAGGCAGCUUCUUGGCACUAUUUGACUUGCGCUUUUCCUUCCUUACAUUCUUCUCCAAAACCAGAGAAACAUCGCUCGUAUUUUUCACAUUGCUGCUGAAGCUUGCCCCCAUUGUCACGCCUGAUUGGUCCAUCUAAACUUACUGCUGCACUGUAGAACUUAUCAGAAGAAAUCUUCCCGAGUUUACAUCCAAAAGGUUGGGGCUUCUUGCUUCUCGGCUCAUAUUUACAUCACACUCAAUUUCAAUCACAACAUCUCUCAUAAGAAUGUGAUCCAUUGGUACCUCCUCUCUUGCUCAUGCAUAAAAUUUUAAACUGUCGACAGUAUAACUUAAAAAAUUAUCCUCAAAAUAUGUCAAAUGCAGGAAAUUUAAGAUCUUGCUAAUCAAUUAAUUAAAUUACUGCCCACAUUUCCAUAUUAGAAAACCCAUAAACUAUAACAGUAUAACUGCUCAAUUGCAAAUUUAGGAAGUAUAAAUCAAUUUCUUUCCAAGACCAGGUAGAGUUGACAAGAACUUGAAUAAAACAAAAAUAUAAAAAUGAAAUUUUCAUAAAGACAAUGAUAGUAGUACAAUUAGUCUUGAAAUUUUAUCAUAAUUAUUCUUUAUAUCAUCGGCCAUUCUAGUUGUAUCAAUGUUCUUUUUUGCAUUUUAACUCGACCGCUUUUUAAUUAAUAGCUAGCUAUCAGUUCUCAAACAACAGCAAAACAUGGAUUAUCAGUUUGAAAUUGAAGUUGAAAGUUCAAAUACCAAUGCCAACGUACAACAUCUGACUGUUCAUCAAAGUAAGUUUUUGAAUUUUGUUUUUCACUUCAUGAGUUGAGCAAACUAAAUACAUGUGUAUAUUUUCAAUUAUUUUUCUAAACAAAUGCAAUACUUUCAUUAGCUUUCUUUCAAGUGGCAGUGGUACAAUUUUACAUCUUAUAUUCUACAAAAUGGAGACUUCAAUUCUUGAUUUGCUAACCAUGGCUUUUCUCUCAGUUCCAAGUAUUAUCUCCAUAAAAUAUGACAUCCCUACUCAACGUGUAUCUGUGGGUAAAGCGCGACUUUUUAAUCCCCACAUUGAAGACAAAAGUAAAGAUGGCAGAAAUGCUAUUUGUUAUUGUUGUGUACAAAAAUGCUAUUUUAGAUAAAUACUAUCCACAAGCAUGCACCUACUAAAUUGGAUGAAGGUAAUGUAAAUUGUAAUAAAUCUCUAGUAAGACGACAUCUUAACUACAUUCACAUCACAGGCAUAGCAAUGAUUUUGCUUUAAAUUUCUUUUUGUCAAAC